RNAcentral lists this ribosomal RNA (252 nucleotides) under Salmonella enterica subsp. enterica serovar Chester. RNAcentral describes it as "partial 23S ribosomal RNA". It matches the Rfam family "Bacterial large subunit ribosomal RNA", at positions 137 to 427 of the family's 2925-position model. The record is from RNAcentral. Lineage: Bacteria; Pseudomonadati; Pseudomonadota; Gammaproteobacteria; Enterobacterales; Enterobacteriaceae.
GACUCGUCACACUAUCAUUAACUGAAUCCAUAGGUUAAUGAGGCGAACCGGGGGAACUGAAACAUCUAAGUACCCCGAGGAAAAGAAAUCAACCGAGAUUCCCCCAGUAGCGGCGAGCGAACGGGGAGGAGCCCAGAGCCUGAAUCAGCAUGUGUGUUAGUGGAAGCGUCUGGAAAGGCGCGCGAUACAGGGUGACAGCCCCGUACACAAAAGCGCAUGUGCUGUGAGCUCGAUGAGUAGGGCGGGACACGU